ACAGACUCUUGGCCUUUUGGCUAAGAUCAAGUAUAGUAUCUGUUCUUAUCAGUUCACUAUCUGAUAUGUCCUCUGAGGACAAUAUAUUAAAUGGAUUUGGGGAGCAGGGAGAUGGAAUAGGAGCUUGCUCAGUCCACUCCACGCAUCGACCUGGUAUUGCAGUGCUUCCAGGAACGGUGCACCCCUC
Molecule: small nuclear RNA, 187 nt
Filed under: Marmota marmota marmota (Alpine marmot)
Lineage: Eukaryota; Metazoa; Chordata; Mammalia; Rodentia; Sciuridae
Description: U2 spliceosomal RNA (ENSMMMG00000009412.1)
Rfam family: U2 spliceosomal RNA
About the family: U2 is a small nuclear RNA (snRNA) component of the spliceosome (involved in pre-mRNA splicing).
Source: Rfam by way of RNAcentral